Molecule: ribosomal RNA, 541 nt
Filed under: uncultured archaeon
Lineage: Archaea
Description: bacterial SSU rRNA
Rfam family: Archaeal small subunit ribosomal RNA
Source: RNAcentral
ACGGGAGCAGCAGGCGCGAAAACUUUACAAUGUACGAAAGUGCGAUAGGGGGAUCCCGAGUGCUUAUACAUUAUGUAUAAGCUUUUGCCAAGAGUAAAUACCUUGGCGAAUAAGUGGUGGGCAAGACUGGUGCCAGCAGCCGCGGUAACCCCAGCGCCACAAGUCGGAAUCACUUUUAUUGGGCCUAAAGCGUCCGUAGCAGGUUUUGUAAAUCUUCUGUGAAAUCGUUGCGCUCAACGUAACGGCUUGCAGGAGACACUGCAGAACUAGGGACCGGAAGGAGUCAGAGGUAUUCUUGGGGGAGCGGUAAAAUGUUAUAAUCCCAAGAGGACCACCUGUGGCGAAGGCGUCUGACUAGUACGGAUCCGACUGUGAGGGACGAAAGCUAGGGGAUCAAUCCGGAUUAGAUACCCGAGUAGUCCUAGCUGUAAACGCUGCGAGCAAGGUGUUGCAUAUUCUUCGAGAAUGUGCAGUGUCGAAGCGAAGGCGCUAAGCUCGCCGCCUGGGAAGUACGGUCGCGAGACUGAAACUUAAAGGAAUU